This 264-nucleotide ribosomal RNA is filed under the name uncultured bacterium. Its description in RNAcentral is "partial 16S ribosomal RNA". It matches the Rfam family "Bacterial small subunit ribosomal RNA", at positions 57 to 305 of the family's 1533-position model. The record is from RNAcentral.
GCAAGUCGAACGAACCGAUCAUCAGUAGCAAUACCAAUGUGAGGUAAGUGGCGAACGGGUGAGUAACACGUAGAUAAUCUACCUUUCAGACGGGGACAACCCAGGGAAACUUGGGCUAAUACCCGAUGAGACCACGUCCGGGGACGGAUGUUGCCAAAAGUGGGCUUCGGCUCAUGCUGAGAGAUGAGUUUGCGUCCUAUCAGCUGGUUGGUGGGGUAAUGGCCUACCAAGGCUAAGACGGGUAGGCGGCCUGAGAGGGCGAUC